UAGGGAAUCUUCCGCAAUGGGCGAAAGCCUGACGGAGCAACGCCGCGUGAGUGAUGAAGGUCUUCGGAUCGUAAAACUCUGUUAUUAGGGAAGAACAAAUGUGUAAGUAACUAUGCACGUCUUGACGGUACCUAAUCAGAAAGCCACGGCUAACUACGUGCCAGCAGCCGCGGUAAUACGUAGGUGGCAAGCGUUAUCCGGAAUUAUUGGGCGUAAAGCGCGCGUAGGCGGUUUUUUAAGUCUGAUGUGAAAGCCCACGGCUCAACCGUGGAGGGUCAUUGGAAACUGGAAAACUUGAGUGCAGAAGAGGAAAGUGGAAUUCCAUGUGUAGCGGUGAAAUGCGCACAGAUAUGGAGGAACACCAGUGGCGAAGGCGACUUUCUGGUCUGUAACUGACGCUGAUGUGCGAAAGCGUGGGGAUCAAACAGG
This 429-nucleotide ribosomal RNA is filed under the name Actinomycetes bacterium. RNAcentral's name for it is "Actinobacteria bacterium partial 16S ribosomal RNA". It matches the Rfam family "Bacterial small subunit ribosomal RNA", at positions 355 to 776 of the family's 1533-position model. The record is from RNAcentral. Lineage: Bacteria; Bacillati; Actinomycetota; Actinomycetes.